CUUCACUGGGACAGCGCCUGUGAGGCAGACCUUCCUGCUUGCAAAAUGGACUGCUCCACGGCAAUGAAUUUUGCAGAGCUGAGCCCUAAACCUGCCUCUGAAUCCAGCCUUCUGUGUACCCUGUGUGUGGACCCAGAUUUGAACUCCGAGGAUGACUCCUGCAUGGUCUUGUUUUCUGGCACCUCCAGACAGGACAUAAACCACUUGACAGCCUUCCGAUUUCGAGUCGUGAUGCAUUCAACCCGGCGUCCUGGCGCUGCUGCUGCUCAGGCUUGCUGCUGCAUGGGUCGGUGUGCAGCAGGGACCCCAGUGCAUGCCUGCUGCCUCCCACGCCUCGCCAAGGUGCUGG
Molecule: non-coding RNA, 349 nt
Organism: Anas platyrhynchos (mallard)
Lineage: Eukaryota; Metazoa; Chordata; Aves; Anseriformes; Anatidae
Source: RefSeq, a predicted model, not a curated record